This 294-nucleotide ribosomal RNA is filed under the name Triticum aestivum (bread wheat). RNAcentral describes it as "partial small subunit ribosomal RNA". Lineage: Eukaryota; Viridiplantae; Streptophyta; Magnoliopsida; Poales; Poaceae. The record is from RNAcentral.
AUGGCUGGGAUCACAGUGGUGCACCAGGCAACCGGAGUUCGACUCCUGAUGUCGGUGCCGGGGUACGACGUCAUGUUCGGGAAGCUCUCGCUGCGCGGCCUCUUCGACGACUACUUCAUGCAGCGCGGCGGCAUCGACACGCGCUUCGUGCUCAAGGCCAAGGAAGAUCCUCGCCUUCAGCUGGCCGCCACCAUUUCUACAAGCAGCGACAUGGAGGCCCAGUUUCGGUGGCACAGGGAUUUAGAUAAUCCACACACAUUUGUGGACUUGACUGCGUCCGCUUCGGAACCGUAA